Neofelis nebulosa (Clouded leopard) is the source of this 1877-nucleotide long non-coding RNA. RefSeq lists it as uncharacterized. The record is from RefSeq and is a predicted model, not a curated record. The transcript is spliced from 4 exons. Lineage: Eukaryota; Metazoa; Chordata; Mammalia; Carnivora; Felidae.
AGUCCACUUGGGCUCGUCUACCCAAGUUGGGGGUGUCUCUGGGGUUUGAAUUAGAGUCAGUCAUUCCUGCACUUGAUCCUCCCUUUGUUCAGUAAUUUUAGAGCCUGAGCCACGCCCAGUUUUGGGUGCUACCCCACUGUUUUCCAGACAGGAGGGCGCUGCCCUCCCCAGGGCUCCGCAAUAGAGCUGGGACAUGGCUGCCUGGUCGGAACCCACAGAUCCUGAGGCUCGGAUGCUUAAGAGGAAAUGUAAGGCCUGAAGAGGCAAAUAAACUGAUGCGGACCGUGCGUUUACCUCGGGGGAUGGCUUACUCGGUUCUGCCUGUGCUCCUACCAAAGUGCAAGGUGGCUACGGGGAUGUGCUCCCUCCAUCAGUGGCCUGUGACUCUGCUGUCGGCCCGCGACCUUCUGUCCUGCGCGGCAGAGCCCGCUGCAGAGUCCCCCAAGAAAUAAGGUAUUAACACUUAUCGUGUGGAGCUGAAUUCUUCAAGGAAUAGUAAUCCUUAAACAGACGGAGGAGGAGUCGUCUUCAAAGCAUUAAAAUCCAGCGGGUGCUCCCGGCCCAUCCUUCUUCACCAGCCACGCGCCGUCUGGACGGAUUUGGGUCGGAAGAAUCCUGACGAAAUGUCUCCUCGAAAGAUGCCAUCUCCUGCGGGGCACUGGUCUAGCCCAGAGCUUCUGUCAAAGGUGACACCCAGAGAAAAUGCCCCUCCCUUUGCUUGGUCAGAUACACAUCAGGCUGGGCCCCUCAGACCCUUUACUUUUCUUCUUUCUCUCUCUCUCUCUUUUUUAAAAAGUGUAUUUAUUUUGAGAGACAGAGAGAGAGCGUGAGUAGGGAAGGGGCAGAGAGAAAAGGGGGGAGAGAGAAUCCUAAGAAGGUUUCACCCUAUCAGCACAGAACCCAGUGAGGGCCUCGAACUCAUGAACCGCGAGAUGGUGACCUGAGCCGAAACCAAGAAUCAGACGCUUCACGGACUAAGCCACCCAGAUGCCCUCUUUUCUUCUCUUAAGUCCCUGUUCCAACCUAAGAGAGCAUGAGUCCGUGCUGAUUAACCCCUCCUGUGUGCAAAUGAACUCUAUCUUCCCUCGACUGACCCAAAAGCCCUCGCAGUUACUGCUUCUGACCUAACCCAUCCGACUCCGAGAGGUGCUUUGUCCACAAUCACACAACUGAAAAACCAGUGCUCAACACGGGCCUCAGUGGCGCAUGGUGAGUGUUCUCGAAAUAUUCGCUAGGCAGAUGAAUCACCAGAAAGACUAGAAAUCAGGCCUCCAGUUUUCUCGGGCCUCGACUGGGUCACAUCCCCAGAAUCGUCAUGCUCCGAAAACAGCUUAAAUGCCGGUACGGAGAACAGACCAAGCUACCAACCCCAGUUUCUCCGUAUCAGCUGCUGCUCCUGCAAAAUACACUCUCACGUCCUCACCUAAGAGGCUUCAACGUCGGGUUUAAAAUGUACUUUUCUCCAGGUUAAUUUUCUUUGCUUCCCUGCCUCCUUCUCGGCGAGGCUGGCUCAGGCCACCCCCUGCCCUUGUCCCCCCCCCCCCCCUCCCCACCCCACUUUAGCUUCCCCACAGCGUUUGCCACCAGCUGGUGCAACGAUUCACUUCAGAUGUAUUCCGUUUAUCGCCAGCCCCAAGAGAACAGACCUUUUGUUUGCGGUUCAGCUCCUAGAAGACCUUCUGGCCCGGAGCAGAUGCGCCAUGAAAGUUUGUUGACUGAAUCAAUGAAUGGAUGAAACUUAUUUGCUGACUUAGGUGAUCUCUGUUUUUGUUUUUGUUUUAUUCCCAUGCCGUCCAAACAAGAAUCGGGGGCUGCUCCUUUCUGUCCCUAAGCCUCCCCCAUUGUCUUGCUGCUUCCAGAAUAACAGAUCCCGUCAC